UACAGAGACUGCAAGCGUUAUUCGGAUUCACUGGGCGUAAAGCGUGCGCAGGCGGUGAGCUGUGUCCGAUGUGAAAGCCCCGGGCUUAACCUGGGAAUGGCAUUGGAAACUGGCUCGCUGGAGUGUGGCAGAGGGGGGUGGAAUUCCGCGUGUAGCAGUGAAAUGCGUAGAGAUGCGGAGGAACACCGAUGGCGAAGGCAGCCCCCUGGGCUAACACUGACGCUCAGGCACGAAAGCGUGGGGAGCAAACAGG
This 253-nucleotide ribosomal RNA is filed under the name uncultured bacterium. RNAcentral describes it as "partial 16S ribosomal RNA". It matches the Rfam family "Bacterial small subunit ribosomal RNA", at positions 524 to 776 of the family's 1533-position model. The record is from RNAcentral.